This 617-nucleotide ribosomal RNA is filed under the name uncultured bacterium. RNAcentral describes it as "bacterial SSU rRNA". It matches the Rfam family "Bacterial small subunit ribosomal RNA", at positions 8 to 602 of the family's 1533-position model. The record is from RNAcentral.
AGAGUUUGAUCCUGGCUCAGGACGAACGCUGGCGGCGUGCCUAAUACAUGCAAGUCGAGCGGACCAAUAGAAAAGCUUGCUUUUCUUGAGGUUAGCGGCGGAUGGGUGAGUAACACGUGGGCAACCUACCUGUAAGACUGGGAUAACUUACGGAAACGUGAGCUAAUACCGGAUAGUUUCACUUCUCGCAUGAGAAGUGAAGGAAAGAUGGCUUCUAGCUAUCACUUACAGAUGGGCCCGCGGCGCAUUAGCUAGUUGGUGGGGUAAAGGCCUACCAAGGCAACGAUGCGUAGCCGACCUGAGAGGGUGAUCGGCCACACUGGGACUGAGACACGGCCCACACUCCUACGGGAGGCAGCAGUAGGGAAUCUUCCGCAAUGGACGAAAGUCUGACGGAGCAACGCCGCGUGAGCGAAGAAGGUCUUCGGAUCGUAAUGCUCUGUUGUUAGGGAAGAACAAGUACCGGAGUAACUGUCGGCACCUUGACGGUACCUAACCAGAAAGCCACGGCUAACUACGUGCCAGCAGCCGCGGUAAUAACGUAGGUGGCAAGCGUUGUCCGGUAUCAUUGGGCGUAAAGCGCGCGCAGGCGGUCCUUUAAGUCUGAUGUGAAAUCU